Molecule: ribosomal RNA, 106 nt
Filed under: Monilinia laxa
Lineage: Eukaryota; Fungi; Ascomycota; Leotiomycetes; Helotiales; Sclerotiniaceae
Description: partial 28S ribosomal RNA
Rfam family: Eukaryotic large subunit ribosomal RNA (bases 49-106)
Source: RNAcentral
CGUUACAGGUUCUCGGUGUGCUUCUGCCAAACCCAAAUUUUCUAUGGUUGACCUCGGAUCAGGUAGGGAUACCCGCUGAACUUAAGCAUAUCAAUAAGCGGAGGAA